GAGUAUUCUGUUAGAAGUAUUACAAAUAUUUUUAAAGUUGGCAAAAUCAAAAUGGUUAAAAUUGAAAUAUCUAUUUUAAAUAGUUAAAGUUGAAGUAGUAAAAUAGAAGUUUUUGAAGUGUAGGUCGUUCGUUCAAAAUGGAUCAUAGUUUGGAUAAUCCUUGUACAAUUUUAUCUCUCUUUUAUGCAACCUUUUUUUUUAAUUAUGGGAGCAGCAAACUAAAUGUAAUUUGUUUAGUAAAAUAUGAACAAGAAAGAUCAAUAAAAAGUGUAAAAUAUUUA
This 281-nucleotide long non-coding RNA is filed under the name Ananas comosus (pineapple). RNAcentral describes it as "long non-coding RNA (ACOM_LNC041306)". Lineage: Eukaryota; Viridiplantae; Streptophyta; Magnoliopsida; Poales; Bromeliaceae. The record is from RNAcentral.